Long non-coding RNA from Scophthalmus maximus (turbot), 2566 nucleotides. RefSeq lists it as uncharacterized. The record is from RefSeq and is a predicted model, not a curated record. The transcript has 4 exons. NCBI's taxonomy places the organism in Eukaryota, Metazoa, Chordata, Actinopteri, Pleuronectiformes, Scophthalmidae.
ACAAUGCACUGUGUCUCUGGAGUUCUCGAGCACAACAAGUUUCAUUUACUGGCAAUUUGAUCAUUCUCUCGGACUUUGCCACAUUAUCAGGGACUCAUUUGAAUGAGUAAUCGUUUGGCUGCCAGCGCUGCUCGAAAGAUACGUUUCGAAUCCUUCCACUGAAUUGUGUUGGAGAACAAACUCUGUUUUGGAAGUCGUGCCUGAUAACAAGACCUCAUACGUUGCAUAUCAUAGAUGUGGACCAUGCUCUGAUUACACACCCAUAAAUCAAAUUUCAUGCCGCGGCGUGUGACACGUCUGUAUCCUGAAAAGUCUGGACGGAGUCAAAAAAUGAAAAUAAAGAUGUACGGGUGUACGAGGGGCUCUGAGGAAACCCAGACCACCUGGCUCCCCUGGCUCUCUUGACUUCGCCGUGUGAACAGGCCCCGGCACGAACCCCAGUUUGUGUUUUCAGUUUGCUGCAGCGGCAGUAAUGUAUCUGGAUGGGAACAAUUGUGCUUGUUUUGCCAUUACACUCCAGCCUGGGCCCGGUUCAACAUACCGACGGCUGCUAUUACGGCCGGAUGACGGCGGCCCCUUCGCCCGCUCUUCAAGCACGCCGCGCUCACUCAAAGCUCCGCGGCUGAGGUAAUGCCUGGGUCGCGGGCCAGAGCGCCGCGCUCGGAGGAGGGAUACCAAAUCAGACCUAAAUUUAGAGGAUUGUUAAGUAGACGCUGUAACAAUUCCAUCAAUCAGGCAGGCUGACUUUCCCCUCUCAUGUUUUACAAAAGCGGAUUUUCGACAUUUUGUUGCGGUGUGUCAUGGGUUACGUCACGGCCGCAGCUCAUGGGCAAAAGAGUUCUGCGGUGUCGCAUGUUGGAUGCCCGACUUCAACGUGAUGUUGACGUCUCCGCGGUUUGAAGUCCACAUGGCCGACAACUGAACCCCUCGUCGAUAAGCGAAGGGAGCCAUCACCCCCCCCCCCCCCCGGGAAAAGAGCCGAGGAGCAGGUCCAUCGCUAAUCCUCCGAACGUUUUGAUGCUUUGGUCUCGAUCUGGGGUGGACGGUACGAGCUCCUGGUAAAUACCGAGCUGACUGUAAAAUAUUAGCCCUCCUCCUACAGGGUGUCACAUGAGCCUGCCCCGGGGCAUCGCUGAACGCUCUUAAUGCCUUCCCGCCUGCUGCGAUGCCACUUUUCCCAGGAGCUGGACUGUCUGUCAAACUGCUUCCUUUGAGAGAUGAGGGAAAAUUCUCAAAAUGUCGAGUUGAACCUGCGCAGUAAAUCCCUUGGAUUGUCAACAGAGAGGUAGCCUAUACCUUGAAAACGGUUCGGCAAGGAAAACAAUAGGCGGACGGAGGCAAAGCAUCUAUCACUUGCGAGUGCAAUUUUCCCCCACUUCGAACCUGAAAUAUUGUGGCCGGGUGAACAAACAGUCUGAGAUCAAGGCAGAUAGAAACGGAGGAGUGGUUGAGCCUGUCUGAACGAUUACCAAGCCACUGAGCCACUGGAACUCAUCCAUUCCCAGUCGCUGCAAUGCUCGUUUUAUGGAAAUCACUCUCCUGCGAUGACCUCACUUCUCUAUCAAAUAACUCGGAGAUAAGUGAGUGGAGGUAACAUGCUGGGCUGCAAACAAAAACCCACAUUAUAAAUAGCCUCACAGACUGCUUCAGACUGCUGGGAGGAGAGAACUCGUUGCUUUACACACACACACACACACACACACACACACACACACACACACACACACACACACUGACAGUUGUACAUGUAGAGCAGCAACAGGGCUGGGUGAGGACACCCCCUUGCUGGAUCAGGAUUACCCCACUGCUGUAUCACCGACCAGUCAGAGUGAGUUAUGCAAUAUAUCUAUCUUCUCUCACUUUCCCCAUCACAAGAAGACGAAUGCUAAUUCAUAACCGAGCUAGAAUUCUGGAUGGUUCUGGCUUCCUUUUUAUGCCGAACCUCUCAUAAAGCGAAGCAAUCUGGAAAAAUAGAGCUAAAACAUAAAUAACAGUGAAAUAAUAUUGUGCCGUGUCAUUCGUAAAGGAUUGCAAACCUCGCUUGUCCUCUGCUUGACGUCCAAUUUUGAGUUCUUGUAACAGUUUCUGUGCUUCACUCCUACUUAGUGAUCAAAGUGUGGUAGAAAAGGAUGAAGAUAUUUCACUGAAGUAUGCAUUUGUGAUACUGGCUUCAAAAGCAUUGCAGUAUUAAGAUUCAUAACGGCAGGCUUUGGAUAGGUAACUUAAGAUGAUGAUAAUAGCCUGAGCAGAUGUUUGGGGUGAUGAGGCGAAGGUGAACUUGUUUGUCUAACUCGCGGGGAGAGGUGGCGAUUAAAGCUUGUGUGGCGGAGAAAAGGCUCGUGGUGAAAUUGAAAAUGAGUUGGGGGGGGGGGGGGCAAGAAAAUGGUGGGUGAAAGAGAGGUGAGAUGAGGAUGAAAGGUGAGAGACCCAUUAUGAUGCAGGGUUUCUGGAUUCCAUCUCACACACCUGCUGCCUACUUCUACUCCACUGUUAAUUUAGUCGACAUAACUACGGGCAGAAAUACCGCUGUACAGCUGGUUUUUUUUACAAAAUAAAAAAGUUGACU